CUCCAAUAGCGUAUAUUAAAGUUGCUGCAGUUGAAAAGCUCGUAGUUGUAUUUCUGGGGUGGACUUUCGGUCCGCGGCCUUGUGUCGUGUGUACUGUAUUCUGUUCCACUCCAUCCUCGUAGUGAUUACAUCUGGCAUUUAGUUGUCGGUUGUAGGAGCUGCGUCGUUUACUGUGAAAAAAUUAGAGUGUUUAAAGCAGG
RNAcentral lists this ribosomal RNA (200 nucleotides) under uncultured eukaryote. RNAcentral's name for it is "partial 18S ribosomal RNA". It matches the Rfam family "Eukaryotic small subunit ribosomal RNA", at positions 589 to 784 of the family's 1831-position model. The record is from RNAcentral.